Molecule: long non-coding RNA, 499 nt
Organism: Homo sapiens (human)
Lineage: Eukaryota; Metazoa; Chordata; Mammalia; Primates; Hominidae
Exons: 2
Source: RefSeq, a predicted model, not a curated record
CAAAUGACUCUGUUCCCUCAAAAGAAUUUUUGGUAAUACUAUCAAUAACUUCUAGAUUCUAAUAUAAAUAAAUGAUGUAGCUUUUCUAGUACACUGCUAUGUAGCUUCCUCAAAUACUUCUAAUACUUACAAAAUUCUUAAAACAGAUUUUUGGGGUGCCACAAGCCUGAGACAAAACAAAUUUCCAUUUUCAACCAGAAUGAAAUUAAGAAAACAGAUAAAAGCCACAUACAAAAUCUCAUUGAGAGUCUUUUUGCUUUUUAACUAUAACAGAAAUUUACAACUAAAAUGAAAAGUGCCUCGGAAUGAAAUAUUAAAUCCAAGCUGGUGUCUGUCCACCUGUCCUUAGGAAGUCUCAACUUACGAAGUCCACUAAAUUUCUCAAAAAAGAGUUUUAUCACUUUGAAUUUGUCCCCUGCUUAAAAUCCCCCAAAAUAUACAAUAUCUAAUAAAAAUCAGCCUUUUACUUAUAAAAUAAAUUCAUUUAUCAGCAUGAGAA